This 711-nucleotide ribosomal RNA is filed under the name uncultured bacterium. RNAcentral describes it as "bacterial SSU rRNA". It matches the Rfam family "Bacterial small subunit ribosomal RNA", at positions 1 to 725 of the family's 1533-position model. The record is from RNAcentral.
AAUUCGAUUGAGUUUGAUCAUGGCUCAGGACGAACGCUGGCGGCGUGCUUAACACAUGCAAGUCGAGCGGUAAGGCCUCUUCGGGGGUACACGAGCGGUGAACGGGUGAGUAACACGUGGGCGACCUGCCCUCAGCCCUGGGAUAAGCCUGGGAAACUGGGUCUAAUACCGGAUAUGACUUCGCAUCGCAUGGUGUGUUGUGGAAAGUUUUUUCGGCUGGGGAUGGGCCCGCGGCCUAUCAGCUUGUUGGUGGGGUGAUGGCCUACCAAGGCGACGACGGGUAGCCGGCCUGAGAGGGCGUCCGGCCACACUGGGACUGAGACACGGCCCAGACUCCUACGGGAGGCAGCAGUGGGGAAUAUUGCGCAAUGGGCGGAAGCCUGACGCAGCGACGCCGCGUGGGGGAUGACGGCCUUCGGGUUGUAAACCUCUUUCGACCGGGACGAAGCGUGAGUGACGGUACCGGUAGAAGAAGCACCGGCCAACUACGUGCCAGCAGCCGCGGUAAUACGUAGGGUGCGAGCGUUGUCCGGAAUUAUUGGGCGUAAAGAGCUCGUAGGCGGUGUGUCGCGUCGGUCGUGAAAACUUGGGGCUUAACCCUGAGCUUGCGGUCGAUACGGGCAUCACUGGAGUUCGGCAGGGGAGACUGGAAUUCCUGGUGUAGCGGUGAAAUGCGCAGAUAUCAGGAGGAACACCGGUGGCGAAGGCGGG